GAUGAACGCUAGCUACAGGCUUAACACAUGCAAGUCGAGGGGAAACGACAUCGAAAGCUUGCUUUUGAUGGGCGUCGACCGGCGCACGGGUGAGUAACGCGUAUCCAACCUGCCCACCACUUGGGGAUAACCUUGCGAAAGUAAGACUAAUACCCAAUGACGUCUCUAGAAGACAUCUGAAAGAGAUUAAAGAUUUAUCGGUGAUGGAUGGGGAUGCGUCUGAUUAGCUUGUUGGCGGGGUAACGGCCCACCAAGGCGACGAUCAGUAGGGGUUCUGAGAGGAAGGUCCCCCACAUUGGAACUGAGACACGGUCCAAACUCCUACGGGAGACAGCAGUGAGGAAUAUUGGUCAAUGGACGAGAGUCUGAACCAGCCAAGUAGCGUGCAGGAUGACGGCCCUAUGGGUUGUAAACUGCUUUUAUAAGGGAAUAAAGUGAGUCUCGUGAGACUUUUUGCAUGUACCUUAUGAAUAAGGACCGGCUAAUUCCGUG
RNAcentral lists this ribosomal RNA (492 nucleotides) under uncultured bacterium. Its description in RNAcentral is "partial 16S ribosomal RNA". It matches the Rfam family "Bacterial small subunit ribosomal RNA", at positions 28 to 507 of the family's 1533-position model. The record is from RNAcentral.